Molecule: long non-coding RNA, 1036 nt
Filed under: Stegodyphus dumicola
Lineage: Eukaryota; Metazoa; Arthropoda; Arachnida; Araneae; Eresidae
Description: uncharacterized LOC118194856, transcript variant X2
Source: RNAcentral
CUGUUUUCUUGCUGUUCCCUGAAUUCACGAUUUAGAAAUAAUAGGCCAUUUAAGUGCUGGAAUUUGAAACAAGUCAUACCACUGCAUUAAAAAGUUAUAAUUGCUCGAUCAAGAUUAGUGUACUUUUCUUAAUAAUUUUUCUGUUGACAUCCUCGAAAGAAUAUCUCUAAUUAUUGAAGACCAAGAAUCAAAAUUAGUUCUGAAAUACAUUCAGGUAUUUUCAGCAUUCAAGCGUAUUAUUCGCGAAUUCCCAGUAUGUCUGCUAUUUAUUUUAAACCGCAUGUUUUAAAGCAGUGUUUCUUAAACUAUGUUUUUCGGAACCUCGGGGUUCCGUGAAAAAUCUCUCAAGGGUUUCACGAAACGAAACGCCCCCACGAAAUUUAAAAAUAGAAUUUUAACCAAAGAACUUUUAAAAGUAAAGGUGUGGCUCCGUCACGUCAAACAGAGGAGUCAAACAUUUUUGUGUGUCCCUGAACCUUUUUUUACAGGGGCAAUUUACCCACGCCGCUCCUGCGCAUGUAUGAUCUAACAUGAAAUCAACAAACCAACACGCCGGCGAAGAAGUUCUUUCGGCAGCCGUGUUGACAAUCUUUAACUGUGUUGUCUGAAGCAAUGUGUUACAAGAACUGCAAGAACUGACAGUGAAAGUGAUGCUGAAGAAAUUAAUGAUGUGCUACUGAGCUAAAAAGUGCUGAUUAAAAGAUUUACAUCCAGUUUUACGAACUUGAGACUACAAAUGAAAAACUGUUGAUAAAUAAUACGAAAAAAAGGUCAACAUUUAUUCAGGUUGCAGAAUAAAAUGUGGACUCUACCGAAUAGAAGAACCUCCAGCAAUAUUUGGUAUCAUUUUGUAAAAUUAGGUAAAAAACGGAAAAUGCCAGUAUUUUUAACAAGAGAAGGAGCCUACUAGUGCUGACAGCUGGGAAUCCUGUUCUUUGGGAUGUGCCUCCAAUCUAAACAUUUAUUUUUACACUGUGCUUUGUUGUAGCAACAAAAUAUCAAUUAUAGUAAUAAAAUAAUGUAAUCUUCAACAAAA